AAGAGCAUAGUAUAAUUGGUUAGUAUUAUGAUCUUCAAAAUCAUUGGUAGGUGUUCAAAUCACCUUGCUCUUG
Gloeophyllum trabeum ATCC 11539 is the source of this 73-nucleotide transfer RNA. It matches the Rfam family "tRNA". From Rfam's summary of the family: Transfer RNA (tRNA) molecules are approximately 80 nucleotides in length. Their secondary structure includes four short double-helical elements and three loops (D, anti-codon, and T loops). NCBI's taxonomy places the organism in Eukaryota, Fungi, Basidiomycota, Agaricomycetes, Gloeophyllales, Gloeophyllaceae. The record is from Rfam.